CCUACGGGAGGCAGCAGUGAGGAAUAUUGGUCAAUGGGCGCGAGCCUGAACCAGCCAAGUAGCGUGAAGGAUGACUGCCCUACGGGUUGUAAACUUCUUUUAUAAAGGAAUACAGUGAGGCACGUGUGCCUUUUUGUAUGUACUUUAUGAAUAAGGAUCGGCUAACUCCGUGCCAGCAUCCGCGGUAAUACGGAGGAUCCGAGCGGUAUCCGGAUGUAUUGGGUUAAAAGGGAGCGGAGAUGGGUUGUUAAGUCAGCGGUAAAAGUCCGGGGCUCAACCCCGGCGAGCCGUUGAAACUGGCUGUCUUGAGAUGUCGAGAGGUAUGCGGAAUGCGCAGUGUAGCGGUGAAAUGCUUAGAUAUUGCGCAGAACUCCGAUUGCGAAGGCAGCAUACCGGCGGCGAUCUGACGCUGAGGCACGAAAGCGUGGGUAUCGAACAGGAUUAGAUACCCGUGUAGUC
Molecule: ribosomal RNA, 459 nt
Filed under: uncultured bacterium
Lineage: Bacteria
Description: partial 16S ribosomal RNA
Rfam family: Bacterial small subunit ribosomal RNA
Source: RNAcentral